Long non-coding RNA from Rana temporaria (common frog), 778 nucleotides. RefSeq lists it as uncharacterized. The record is from RefSeq and is a predicted model, not a curated record. The transcript is spliced from 2 exons. Lineage: Eukaryota; Metazoa; Chordata; Amphibia; Anura; Ranidae.
UUGCACAUCAUUGCACACACUAGUAUUUCCAAACCCAUACACAGUGCAUUAACAUGCACUCUGUACCUAUACACCCUACACACACACAUACAUAUUACUUUUGCACCACACAUUUUUCUGUCAUUUUUUCAAUCACUUCAUCCACCAGCAGCAUGUUCACUCUGCAUUCACUUGUAUAUUAUACCUACCAUGUCAAUGGUUCUGGUAUAUUUAAUAAUAAUAACAUGAUAUUCUGAUAUGAGUAUCAACAAUACCUUCAUACUCUAUCAUAUUCUUUUAUACAUAUUUAUGCCAAGAUCUUGUUAGUACACAAUGACUUUAUACUCUUAUUACAAAUACAUAUUGAAUCAUUAUGGGUGUCGUCUGUUUUUCCUAGCCCCCCUCCCCCCCUUCUCGCAGGUUCACACCCGAGACUCCCUGCAAGCCUGUGUUUUGGUUGACUCCCGCCUGGAGUGACGGGGGACGUCCAUCAUGGGGAUAUUGGGAUCCUUUGUCUGCACCACGGCCAUCAUCUCUGGUUACACGUCACCUUCUAUAUGCUUCGAGCGAAUACAAAUCCCCCUGAAGAAGACCAAAUUGUGGUCGAAACGCGUCGGGGUAUUCUUAUGGAAGCUACUUCAUCAAUGGCACUAUAUAUUAUUCCAUUGUAUCAUUUAACAUUUAAUUGUUGUUGAGAAAGGUCUCCAACUGUCUGUAACCUGAAUGUAUUUUAUAUUACAACUAUCUGCAUUUUCAUUACUUGUGAUACAGAAACCUAGUAAAACAUUUUUUUAUAUAU